CCUACGGGAGGCAGCAGUGGGGAAUUUUGCGCAAUGGGCGAAAGCCUGACGCAGCAACGCCGCGUGAGUGAUGAAGGUUUUCGGAUCGUAAAGCUCUGUCAGAGGGGAAGAACCACCCAGAUGUUAAUAUCGCCUGGGCCUGACGGUACCCUCAAAGGAAGCACCGGCUAACUCCGUGCCAGCAGCCGCGGUAAUACGGAGGGUGCAAGCGUUGUUCGGAAUUAUUGGGCGUAAAGCGCGUGUAGGCGGUUGGUUAAGUCUGAUGUGAAAGCCCUGGGCUCAACCCGGGAAGUGCAUUGGAAACUGGUCAACUUGAGUACGGGAGAGGGUAGUGGAAUUUCGAGUGUAGGGGUGAAAUCCGUAGAUAUUCGAAGGAACACCGGUGGCGAAGGCGGCUACCUGGACCGAUACUGACGCUGAGACGCGAAAGCGUGGGGAGCAAACAGGAUUAGAUACCCCCGUA
This 463-nucleotide ribosomal RNA is filed under the name uncultured Desulfuromonadales bacterium. RNAcentral's name for it is "bacterial SSU rRNA". It matches the Rfam family "Bacterial small subunit ribosomal RNA", at positions 338 to 792 of the family's 1533-position model. Lineage: Bacteria; Pseudomonadati; Thermodesulfobacteriota; Desulfuromonadia; Desulfuromonadales. The record is from RNAcentral.